ACGUAGGGGGCAAGCGUUAUCCGGAAUUAUUGGGCGUAAAGAGUGCGUAGGUGGUUUUUUAAGCGGGAGGUGAAAGGCAAUAGCUUAACUAUUGUAAGCCUUGCGAACUGGAAGACUUGAGUGCAGGAGAGGAAAGUGGAAUUCCUAGUGUAGCGGUGAAAUGCGUAGAUAUUAGGAGGAACACCGAUGGCGAAGGCAGCUUUCUGGACUAUAACUGACGCUGAGGCGCGAAAGCGUGGGGAGCAAACAG
Molecule: ribosomal RNA, 250 nt
Filed under: uncultured prokaryote
Description: partial 16S rRNA
Rfam family: Bacterial small subunit ribosomal RNA
Source: RNAcentral